Long non-coding RNA from Equus caballus (horse), 20260 nucleotides. The record is from Ensembl. Lineage: Eukaryota; Metazoa; Chordata; Mammalia; Perissodactyla; Equidae.
UGUGUGUGUCCCCUGCUGCUGCUGAGAACAGACCACAGGGUCAGUAGGACUGUACCCUCAGGAGUUUUCUGUCCAAGAAAAUACAGGGGAGAGAGCGGCCUGGACUACGGGGAUGGUCCCAGCAAAGCCCUGGUGUGGGGCAGAGGCGGCCGCGUGUCUGGGCUGUCCUCUCUGAGGUCCCGCCCACUUCUCAUCGUCCCCCUCCACUCCAGUCGUGACUGAAUUCUUCCCGCUCCACUGCCUCAUCCCUUGGUGCCUUGGCCAGUGGGCCUAGAAUGCUCUUCCCCCACGUCCCCUGCCUGGCAAACUCCUAGUUUCCUCAGCCUCUGUGCAGCAUCACCUUCUCUGAGCCCCUCACCAGACUGUCUGGAGGGCCCCUCCUCCGCUUUCUCCAGGACCCUGACCUGACUGUAAUACUGUAGUAGAUAUUAACACAUGUUAUCUUCACCACUCUAUAUGGAAACACUAGUAUCUUCAUCCUACAGAUGAGGUCACUGCGGUGCAGAGAAGUUAAGCAGGUUGCCCAAGGUCACACAGCUACUUCCUGUAUGUCAAAACACUCUUGUAAUUGUUUACAAGUCUGACUCCCUUCCCAUCUAGGAGGGUCUCCAGGCUGGCCUUCCCCAUCUGGCUUCAUGAUGCCUUUCUGGGCCAGAGUCCAAGGGAUGUUUGUCCACCAAAGCGUGCACACUGGCCCAUGAAACAAGCAGCCAUCCCGGAACCCCCACAGGUCAGCCGCCACACCAGUCACAGGACGUCGCCUCUGCUUCCCGGGCUGCUACCCUCCCUUCCUAGAGAGACAGGGAGGUGACAGCAGGGUACAGACUCCGGCAGCAAGAAAACAAACAGCACCCAGCUCCCCACCUCCCACGUUUCUCGGAACUGGCUGCCCUUCCGGCUCUCAGGCAUGAAGGAGUUCUUCGAAGAGGGACCAGGGAGAGGCAAGAAAGAUGCAGACAACACAGAGCGACAGUGGAAACAUUGACCCGUCCUCAUAAGCCACGUACUUCAUAAAUCAUGCAUCUUUGCCCAGAUGUCAGCCACCUUCACCCAGCUGUCACCAUCCAUCCUCGGUGCCCUCCUGGGUGCCAAUCCCACACCUCGGGUCAAGGGAGACCCUCAGCCCACGUGGCUUUCAUCCUCAGAACAGGCCAGCUCCCCCUCUCCUCCUUAGGUCCCCAGGUCUGUUUCUCGCAAUGGCACCUGCCCAGCCGGUGACUUCACAGGAUCCUUGCCCGUGGGCACGUACCACAGAGCCAAGCUGAUUUGACUGUAUUCCUCUGUGGGCCGGAUGUCCCCCUGCUCUUGUCUUCCUCUAUAUUCCUUACAGAUGCAUCAACAGCUAGUGGGUGAAAAUGCUCCACCGGCCCCUCCAGCCUCUCUGCAAACAUGUGCAAGCACACAGAGCCACUCACAACUACAAACACACAUACGCACCAGAGACGCACCCACAGGCUGCGGAGUUCUGAUUUCUCCCACUGCUUCUGGUGGCUCUGUUCUUUGCAUAGAGCUCUGCAAGGCCAGAUUGGGAUGAGGACCGUUUGGAGAACAGUACUCCAUGAGUCACGGAUGGCUUUCCUGGAAGCCACUGCCUCCAUAGACUCUGGAAAUAACAAGGGGCUCUCAGUCACCAGCAUCAGCAAGGCCACUGCAGCCACAAUCAGUCAGAAUUAGGUUAAGCCAACAACAGUGGGUUAAACCAGUGUUUCUCAAACUUGAACAGGCAUACAAAUCACUGAGGAUCUAGUUAAACCGUAGAUAUUGAUCCAGUAGGUCGGGGUGGCACACAAGAUCGUACAUCUCUAACAAGCUCCCAGGAGAUGCCAGUGCUGCUGGUCCUUGGGACGCACUUCGAAGAGCAGGAGCUUAAACAAGAUCGUUUAUUUCUCCCUCAUGUUCUUGAAGUCCAGAAGGAGUCAGUCCAGGGCUGGGAUGGCACUCCACGGUCUCAGAGACCCACUUUCCUUCUAUCUCGUUGCUCUACCAUGUGUGAUUUCCAUUUUCAAGGUGAUUCUCAUGAUGCAAGAUGGCUGGUGGAGCUCCAGCCAUUGCACUGCACUUUCUCAGAAAGCAAGAACUGAUAGAAGAAGUGCUUGCCCCUUGCCUGUAGGAAUACAUCGGAAUUUGCACACUUCCAUGCAUAUGCCUCUAGCCACAGUGAAGCCACAUGGCCUCACCUUUGUCCAUCUGCAAAGGAGCUGGGAAGUAGUCUUUUUUUGGGGCUAUCAUGUGCCCAACUGAAAACUGGAAGUUCAAUUGCUGAGGAAGUAGAUAAAGCACAUUGGGAGGCAGUCAGUAAUCUCCAACACACAGCAGGCUGAGAUGGAAAUGUGAGCAUUUCUGAACCUUUGCCGGCAGUGCCAGUUUUUUGUCUUCCGGGACCAACCAUGAGAGUGAGCCUGGGCCCCCACUGCUGCCCGCCGUCUCUCAGUCCACUUUAAGGCGAGUCUGGUAAUAUGACCAGCCGCACAUGCUGAGCUCGGAGGCUGCGUGAGUCGUGGCGAAGCCUGAGGCCCUGCGGGCAGACAGCCCAGGUUCACAUUGGUUCUACUGGUUAUUGGCUAUAUGACCUCGGACAAGUGACUUAAACUCUUUGUGCCUCUGUGUCCCAUCUGUGAAUGGGGACAACGCUGGUGUCUCUCUCCACGUGUUGGUGUGGGCACGAAAGGAGCAGAGGCCGCCGAUGAGCACCCAACAGACACCAGCCCUGGUGAGGAAACGAGGCCGCCCCAGUGCUCUUCACCCGCCCGCCGUGCACCACACCCUGUGUGCUCUGUGUGCGAGGAAGCGCCAGGAGGAGGCGGAGACCCAAGGCCGUCCUGGAGGAGCUGACAAUUUAUAGCUGUGUCUGACUCUGAAUGAAUGACCUUGGGGCUACACAGUGGAAGACCAGCCAUUUAUUUGGAGAGACUCUCAGUUUGCUAAGAAAAUUUCAGGAUGAUUUUCUUCCGGACUUUCUUCAAAUGAAUUUUUUGCAGAAGAAAUGAACCAAAACUCUACUGUGAUAGCUUCGUAUCGCCUUGGCGAGGUGGAACUCCAUUCUCCCGAAUUCCUUUUCUGGCCUGUUUCUGAUUAGGACUAUACAAGGCAGGUUCUCAGGAGCGAGUGGGCAGGAGGAAGGGAGGCAGCGGGCAUUCUGUAGCACGCGCUUGGUCAACACACAGAGCACUCCUCUGCCGACCCAUGUGAAGCAGCACAGGCACAGAAGUCGGUGUUAGAUGAAGAGCCCGGGGCCCGGCGGGAUUCCCUGUCACCAAGGUCGGAGGCAACGGGAGCAGACACGGGUUUCCAUCCAUCCUUACAGAGUUCCAGCACCUGCUUUUGGAGUCCCAGCCUGCUCACCAGCCUCCCUUUUCGGACUGCUACCCUGGGGACUUCAAGCUCCAACAUCAGACGUGGAGGCAUCCAGCCAGCCCUCCAACUGGCCAAUCCCCUGUAAUAACGAACUGUUUAUUUCUCUAGUUUUCUAUCUAAAAUCUUGCCCUCUCCCACUGGUUCUGCUUCAGGGGCUCAGUGGAGACCCCUGACUCGUAUGUGUACUGUCAGAAAGGCAGGGGAACUGACCUGCCAUCCAAUCCCCUAUUCACAGCUGGGAGAACGGCGGUCCAGAGAGGCAUGCUGCUUUACUCAAGGUCACGCUGACAGCCAGUGACCAAGAAGCCACCAGAACCCGCACCCCCAGUUCCUGCGCCAGCGCUCCUUGUGCAGCCGUCUCCAUCAAUGCUCACACAUUCCCACCACAGAGGCUUUCUGAGACCCUCCUGCUGUCCGCUGCCAGGCCAGGUGUGGGGAUUUCGGGCCACAUCACAUGAGGGUCCUGCACUCGAUCUGCCCACAGUCUAGUGAGGAGACAGGUAGGUCUGUAGAUAGCGCUGACAUGCGGUCGCAAGUGCCCAGGUCAGGGGACAGCGAGCAUGGAAGCCUGUGGGCCCCAGAAGCCAGCCCCUCAUGAAACAUCAGAGGGAGGGGAUGGGUGGGGCAGCCACGAGAUACCCAACGCCGAUCUGCUCUGAGGAAACUCUCGAAGAGCUCUUCUUGCACACGGCCCUGGAAUGAAUCUGUGGACCGAGAACGUCCUGCAGUGCCAGCCCUGAACAGUCUGGAGGGGGGGGGGGAGGGGGAGGAUGCUCCCCUCCGUGCCCACUGGCCUCCCUGCUGCCCUCUGCUCAGCGAUGGCCGGAGGGGCAGGCAGGGCCGGGGCUUGGCGAGUGUCUGGAUCGCCAGUGACCAGCACAAUGACGACACAUAGUCAGCCUCUAGAAGGGCUCGUUGACCAAAGUGUGUUGCCGAUGCCUCACAGAGCAGUGUCCAGGGCUGUGCGAACCCCUCCCAGGGGCAAGGCCUCAGGCAGAGUGGAGAGGGCGGGGCCCCUUCAGAGCCGCUCCCGGCUCCUCCCUUCUCAUCAGUUCAUUGCAGAGGAGACAGAUCCUCAUCACCAGAGGGGACACGCGGAAGCCAUACAGGACACCACCCCUGAAGUGUUACAAACACCCUGCCUGGCCUUCCUAAGUCCUGCAGCCCUGGCCUGGGGACUCCCAGAAACACAAAGACCAGGGAGCGGCUGUGCUCACCAGCCCAGGGCUCACGCCGACGUGCUCUGGAGAACAAACUGCGCUGGUUUGGUGACCGAGGUGGGGAAGGAACCUGGCAGGGUGGGUGGCAGCGGGGAGGAACAGGACUGAAGCCACUUGUCCCUGUUUGCUCAUGGAUGAGCCAGAAACCCUCUGAACUUACUGGAAGGCUCCUGGGACCUUGUUUUCCUGAAACGGUACAAAAACAGGUUGGACCUCUCCAAUGUUUACUUGAGGACGUAAUUACUUAAGUACGAGCUGGGUUGCCUGGCAGGCUGGCAGAGGUAAAGGUGGGGCAGAGGCAUCUGCUGCUCACCUGGGCCUGAGAAGUCCUAGGAGGUGCGCGGCCCAACCCAGGACAGAGCAACCCGGAAGAGACUGAGUUGCGGCUGGAAGAGUCCUGGCGGCGGAGUAGGACAGAGUUGGUAGGAAUGCUGUGUGGCUCUGAGCAACUUACUUAACCUCUCUGAACUGCUGUCUUCAUCUGCUAAGUGGAAAUAGCAAUACUUCCCUUGCUAGGUGGUUGGAGGAUUGGCAGUGGUUGCCUGGCAGCCAGCAUUCAGGCAGAGGCUGUUGUUAGUAACAAAGUCCUCAUCUGGUGUUCUGGAGGCCCAGCCACCACCCUCAGUCUCCUUCACAAAUCGAUUCUAUCCCAGCAUGUACUCUCACUGCCGUGCGGCGGUUCCCCCCAGCCUCGCUGCUCCCAGACCUGAACAGCACUGCUUCAAGGCAUCAGGCGAUGUGGGUUGGCUGACACGAAAUGGCCACUGAGGCUGUGGAAACACUCGUAGGUGCUGGGAAAGGGUUCUCCCAGUUCAGCUCUGCCUUGUCAUGACUCAGCUUCCCUCUGCUCUUGUCUUCCUAAGCUCCCAAGGAGCCGCGUUUCUGCCCUGUGCCCUGAGGGCGUCUGGCUGCCUCUUUCAUCGGUCUCUCAUGACCGUCAAGGCUUUGCCGCUUGGCCCCAGUGCUGUGGCUUGGAAAGAAAUACAGACCUUGGUGCACUGAAAUUCCUGGUGAGGCUCAGGGCCACGCAGACGGCCCUGAGCAUGUUCAAAUGUGUUUUUAGGUUAACAUCAAAAUGACAGCACCCCAUUUUUAAAUUUUCAAGAAGAUGCUGCUCCCAGUCUGAGAAAGUCUGGACGGGGGUCACCAGGACCUGGCGCAGUCCCCCCAGCCUCUUCCUCACGUGUGACGCCUCUUGUUGCUGACCCUCCGGGCUCACAGGAGGAGCGGUGGGUGUGGACCCAGAGCCCUCAGCGGUGGCUGGAGGUGGACCGCACACAGCGGCUGGAAGCUUUCCUCCUCCCUGUCUCCAAGCCCUUCACAAUGACAUUGCAGCUCCCUCCUCAAGGGGCGGGGCGCCUGUUCCCUGCCCUUGAUCCAGGUGCGCCUGAGGCUUGCUCUGACCAGAGAACGCAGUGGACGUGAGGGUGCCGGGUCUGAGCCAGGCCCCUGAGGCUGGUGGGCUUUCCCUCUCUCAUUCGCCCCUCAAUUCCUCCCUUUAAACCCAGAGUCCUUGGUUUUGGGAAGGUGGCUCAGGUCCAGAGCUCCUCCCACGAGGGGAAAGCACCCUGGCACCGUGUCGAGUGGAGAGAAGGUACAGAGCGGGGAGAGACACAGGAAGUCUGCAGGCCUCCUGUCCCCAGGGGGGAAAGGAUGCAGAGGCUGACCGUGCCUGCCUCCUCGUUGAAGAAACUCCAGCAAGCUGGGAGACUGAAAUUACCUGCUGGCCUCAGCGAAGCCCCAGGACAAGGACAGCGUGCCUUGUCCCCUGCAUGAUGGCCGGGCAGGGAAGGCUCCUCUGGUAGCAGCUGCUGUCAAACUGUGUCAUUCUGCAGAAGGGACACUCCAAGCUCAUAGAUGCUAUGCCACGUCCUCAAGCCAAGAGGAAGCAAAGGGCGGGCUGGGGCCAGCUCCCGACCAGACGUUCUCAGCCUCUAUCAGGACAUGUGCGGCCCUGCCUCCCACUGCUCCCUACAAAAUCCAGAUCCGCUCACAUCUGAGAUUCUCUCCUAAGGGUGGAGCUCCGUGAGAGCUGCAGUCAAGUCUGCUUCACUUCUCCAUGUUCCUGGUGUCCAGCACUCCGUCUGGCCAGAGGAGGAGCCGGGGGGGGCUCUGAGGGAGCUUUCCCGACUCCCUCCCACCGAGUGCAGGCUCAAAGUCUUCUGUCGCAGCAUGUGUACCUCUCUCAGGCAGUACUUUAAGCAUGUGUAUAAGUGAGUAUUCAUAUACAUAUGUGAAUAUUCCUAUGUAUGUGUGUGUGUGUGCGCACGCCCAUCUUUGUCUACUGGAUUGUGAGUUCCUUCAUGACAUGGGCUGUGAGAUAGAUGCUAGAGAGAUAGAUAGAUAGAUAGAUAGAUAGAUAGACAGAUAGACAGACAGUGGGUAGGUAGAUGGAUAGGUGAGUGGGAGGAUAGACGGAUGUAUAGGUAGACAGACCCAACCCUCCAUCCCCUCUGACUGGGAGGGUGAUUUAUUCGUAACGGUCUCAGCUACUGUGGGAGGCAGGCAGGCAGGCAGAAUCCAGGACAAUCCUUGUCCCGAGGAGAACAGAGGAGCUGGGGGAAGACACUACGCAGCGAAGGCUCAGGGCUUGAAACUAGAGGGCCCAAUGUGUUCUUUGCCAUUCAGUUUCUCUGAGCUUACGUUGUCCUCUCUGUAAAAAGCAAAUGAUAACAGCAGGGUCUGCCUCUCGGGGAUAAAUGGAGCAUCAGCAUAAAAGAAUAUGCUUCAGAGGAACACAGAGUGGACAGGCCCCGGGCCUUGAAUCAGGCAGAGACGCUCAGGUACCACUGGAUGCGGAGGAAACUGCUUGACCCCCCCUAAGCCUCAGCUGCAAACUUGGGAGAGGAAGUUGCCCCUUGUCGGGGGUCUGUGACUGUGAAACAAGGCUCCGUAUGUGGAAGCAGGCGCUCAGCAGCGAUGGCCACCAAUGCUGCUGCUGUCAGUAACCUACUUCAGAAGGCCUGGCCCCGACCACUCGCAGUUUGCAAGGUCAGAGAGAUGCUGUGGAAACACCAGAGCGUGCAGGGCGCAGAGAAGGCGUAUGGUGACAAAGGCUCCCACAGGAGAAUGCGGGGCUCAGGGAGGACCGGAGUCAAGGAGAGCCCCUUAGAGGAGGUGGAGAGGCCGUGGGAGGAGAACCCUCCUCCCCAGACUCCCGAUAAAGGAGAGGUGUGGGAGGAGAGGUGUUGGCAAGGCGAGAAGAAGAGAGAUGUUUUAAAAACAAAAAAAAUGACAGUUCUUGGGGAAUUGCCAAUAUUUACUAACCUGUGGGCAUCUUCCCCCAGGAAGGGGCUGGGGGCCGGGCUGCUGGAGACAGCUGCUCACACAAACAGCGGAGGGACCUGGCUUCAGCUGUGCGUGUAGACCUGGACUGGGAACCGGAUCCACAUGAUGGUGGGAAAAAACAGUCUGGGGGCUCCGCUGCCCUGGGCAGCUCAAAGCUGGCACAGAGAGCCGGGAGGCCCGGGGUCCCGGGUUCUCCCGUCUAGUUGGGCCUCUGGUUCCUGCCGGCCUGAGAUAAUUGGCUUCUCUCUGCCCACCUGUCCAGGUUGGGAGCGCCCAGCUCCACCUCCUGUCCUUGUGUUGGGAGCGACUGUCCUGUCUGCUCGGCCCUCUCAGAGAAACUGGCCACCCUCAGUCCCUCUACCAAAGCCUCCAGGGCUUGAGGAGAGGCUGGUCCUCCUCACCCACAUUCCCUGGCCCGUGGGCCAGAGUUGAAGGGACCAGGGAGGGCCUGACCCAGGCAGCUGGUCCAAAGGUGGCCGGUACCCAACAGUGGCCAAUUAGAUGCUCUUUUCCAUGGAUCUGAACUUGGAAAGAAUUUUCAAGGUCUCAGAGGACAUGAAAGGAGUGGCUGCCUGUGCAGCAAAGGGCUGAGUGCGGGGGCAGGGGGGCUUGCAGAGGCUUUCUAUGGUAGAAAAGAGAGUGGAAGACGAAGAGGUGCUGAAGGAGGCAGGAAGGAAGGCGAGGAGGAGAAAGAGAGAGACCAACCACCCUAAAAUCCCCCCAGAGGGUCCCAGUAUCAGUCCCCACAAAUGCUUCCACUAAAUCCUAUGCUUCUUUUAUUUAUGGACUUUAUUUUUUUUCAUUUUUUUGGUGAGGAAGAUUGUCCCUGAGUUAACAUCUGUUGCCAAUCUUCCUCUUUUUUUUUUCCUCCCCAAAGCCCCAGUGCAUAAUUGUAUAUCCUAGUUGCAAGUCAUUCUAGCUUUUCUGUUUGGGAUGCCACCACAGCAUGGCUUGAUGAGUGGCAUGUAGGUCCAUGCCCAGGAUCCGAACUGGCAAACCCUGGGCUGUCAAAGCAAAGCAUGUAACCUUAACCACUUGGCCAUGGGGCCGGCCCCUGGACUUUAUUUUUUUAGCCUUUUGUAUUUUGAAAUAUAUAGAGAAAUACACAUAAAAAAAUAACCAUAGAGCUUAACAAACUAUCAGUGAGCUAAAGUAUAGGCCAGUUCGAGAAUCGGGAUUACAGCUCUUCUAAAGCUCUUUCUCUCUCCACCUCCUUCCCCCCAAAGUUGGCCAGAAUCAGGACUCAUGGCUUUUCUUCAUAAUCUUAUACAGCCAGCUAAGCAUGUGACCUUAAAGACUAUGGUUUAAUUUUGCCAGCUUUUAAACUUGACGUAAAUGGAACAUACCUACGUGUUCUUUUGAGUUCAGCUUCUCCCAUUUAAUGUAACAGUUUUUGAGAUUGAAUCACAUGUUGCCUGUAGUUUAGAUCACCGGUUCUCAGUGCUGUAGAUUACUGCAUGGUACACCACACUGCUAUGGUCGCAUCCAUUCUGCUAUGGGCAGACACAAAUAACUCUCCCCGGCCUGCCACCUGUGUCCUUUAGGUGUCCUGAGAAGACCUCUGAUUUUUACCACCAAUAAGCAACUUGAACAUGGGGAAACAGCACUCGACUUGAAAAUGGGGAAAUCCAGAGAAAUCUGAGUCCUUAUUAGGGACUGGAUCCUGGACCUCUCAGAGAACAGAGGUUCAGAUUCAUUUCACUUUCUGGGCCAAGAAAUCAACACAGAUUUUUUUGAGCAUACAGCGUCUGAAAGGAAAGGAGGGCAGGCCCCGAUGCGCAGGAGGCCACGGAAUACGGUGCCUCCGGCUCUGGGAGCGGAGAGGACUGCCAGGAGGAAGCAGUCUUUGGGAUGGUCUGAGAAGGAGAAUUCGUUCAGAGUAAACUGGAAAUUAUUUGAUUCAGUCUUUUGUACAGAAACCCUCCCAACGUCUGAGUCUCCUGGCUUCCUUGUCUCCCUAAGCCAGGUGGGCAUGGGGACCUCCUCCAUCCCCGUCCAAAGUAGCACCUGGCUCACACCUGUGUGGACGUUGAAACACACUGUCUGAACCUGGAGAGCAAUGGGGACCAGUAGGAGGGGAUUGCACAGGACAGGAGCUUGUCACAGAGCAGCCUCAGGAUGGAAGGAGAUGUACGAAACAAACAAGUGACCCAACUUCCCAUAACAGCAGGAGUUCUUGUGCAUGGGCACCUGGGCAUCGGGCUUCCAGUGACGGGAACCAGAGCGUGGUCCAGGUAGGUCACGGCCCCUGAGGCUGGGCUCUGCUGAUGCUGUGUGUGAAUGCGUGGGAUGCGGUCUGUACAUCCACAGGACAGGGACUUGGACAACCCAUGUUACAAGGGGUGGCAUUCCAGCAGGGCCAGAGGGAUCAAUUCAAGACAUGAUCUGGAUGUGGGCCCCACCCCUGACACUGGCUUGUUGAGCAAUGGUUCGCCUCUCUGGGCCUCGGCUCCUCUAUCUGUAAAGUGGGAGCUAGACUAGAUCUGUAGUCAUUCAUCCUCCAAUGUUGUAUGCUUCUGCACAUGCUCCGGGGAGGAGAGGCCCUCAUAAAUGAGAGUGUACACUGGAAGAAGACUGUUACGAUCAGGGCCAGCAUUAUAAACGAGAGCCCUUCUGGAGACCCACUGGCUGGCAAGGGUUUGGUUGGAGACAGCCCGCGUCUCCGUGGCCUGAUCGUAGUCAAGCCCGCAGGUGGCUUUAUUGCUUUAAGGAGACACACACCCAGAUGUGUUGGACACCUUACUGCACAACUUACUCUUUCAUCUCAUCACCAAGAACCUCUUUCCAGGGGAACACGGAUAGCUCAAACUCAUAACCCAUGGAACAGAUAUAAUAGUUCAUCCAACUAGCCCCUGUUAGUGCACAUGCAGGUCAUUUACAGGUUUUUUUUGCAAACAGUGAUGCGACAGACACCCGCGUACACACAUUCUCCCUUACCGCAGUUUUUAAUACACAGGUCAGAUCAUGUCACUGGCCUCCUCCAAGAUAAACACGCACUCCUUACCCUGGGUUUCCAGCAUGACCUGGCCCCGCUGCCCUCUCUGAGCUCACUUUGGAGCACCCUCCCGUGCCCAUUAGCUCCAGUUACGCUGGCCUGGUUGCAGGGCCUUGAACUCAUCAAAGCCAAUCAGCCUUGAGACCGCACAGCUGGUCCCGCCCCUGGAACGCUCUUCCUGGAUCUGCAAGGACUCCUUCCCCACCCACCGUUCAGAGCUCAGGCUGCGGGUCACCUCCUCUGAGGGGCCCUCCUGCUCAGCCAGUUUAAGUGGGCACCCUCACUCUCUAACAUCAUCUCAUGUCAAGUCUCUGCACAGCCUGUUGGGGGUUGAAUUGUGUCCUCUAAAAAGAUAUGUUGAUUUCUUAACUCCCACUACCUGGGGAUGUGACCUUAUUUGGAAGUAGUCUUUGCGGAGGUAGUCAAGUUAAGAUGAAGUCAUACUGGACUAGGAUGAACCUUAAUCCAGUUGCCGACAUCCGUAUAAGAGGAGGGACAUCUGGACAGAGAGACACAGAGAGGAGAAGGCCAGGUGAGACAAAUUGGAGUGACACGUCUACAAGCCAAGAGACGCCAAGGAAUGCUGGCAGCCACCAGAAGCGAGGAGAGAAGCAACAAACAGAUUCUCCCUCAGCCUCCAGAAGGAACUGGCCCUGCCCAAACCUUGAGUUUGGACUUCUGGCUGCCAGAAUUGGGGGGGAAUAUAUCACUGUCAUUUUAAGCCCCCCAGUUUGUGGUAAUUUAUUAUAACAGCCCUAGGAAACUAACACACAGCCUUCAUCCCCACCAGCACACUUCGAGUCUCUUUCUUUCUUUCUUUAUUUGUGGUCUGCUUCUCCCACAAGAACGUCAGCACCAUGAGAGCGGGGGCCUUGUCUGUCCUGUUCAUGGCCACGUCCUCAGUGCCUGACACACUGACGGUUUUUGAAUAAAGUGACAGUUUGUUAAUUUUUGAAGGAUACAGAUUCCUGUAAGUGGAUUGCAGAGUCAAAAUGUAAGUGCGUCUCAAUUCUGAUAGACAGUCAGAUUCCCUUCCCCAAAAUGUAGCUGUUGCCCUCCUCCGGGCAGGACAUAAGAGUGCCCGUUCUCACAUCCUGUUCAGCCCUGGACAGUGUCACCCUGUUUAAUAUUUGCCAUCUGGAGGGUGAACACGGGAUCUCAUUGCAAUUCUAGCUUUCGUUUUCCUGACUACUGGGGAAGGUGACCAUCUUUUCAUAGAGUCAUGUGCCAUUUGCACAUUUCCUGUGAGUUACUUGUUCCUAACAUUUUCCCAUUUUUCUAUUGGCAUGUGUGGCAGGCAGAAUAACGACCCACCUAAACAGUCCACGUCCUGAUCCCCGGAACCUGUGAGUAUGUCACUUUACACGGCAAAGUGGAACUAAGGUUGCAGAUGGAACUGAGUUUGCUGGUCAGCUGACCUUGAGAUGGGGAGAUCAUCCCGGGUUAUCCAGGUGAAGCAAAGGUCAUCACGAGGGUCCUAGUAAGUGGAAAAGGGGAGAAGAAAAGAGAGACCCAGAGAUGGCAGCGUGAGAAGGACUCAGCCUGGCAUUGCUGCCUUUGAGGAAGGAGGAAGAGGCCAAGGGCCAAGGAAUACAGGCAGCCUCUAGAAGCUGGAAAAGGCAAGGACACGGCUUUCCCCUGGAGCAUUUAGAAGGAGCCAGCCCAGUCAACACUUUGAUGUUGGCCCAAUGAUACUCAUUUUGGACUUCUGACCUUCAGAACUGUAAGACGAUAAGCUUAUGUUCUUUGAAGCCACUAAGUUUGUGAUAAUUUGUUAGAGCAGCAAUGAGAAAUUAGAACACUGUGUUUGAAUUUUUUUAAUCAAUCUGUAGAAGCCUGUUGUAUGUUAGGGAUAUAAGCCCUUUAUUUUCUUAUAUCCAUGCUACCCUCACCUUCUGGUACUGGAAUUAUUGAUUUAUAAGCUACCUGCUUCCUCCUUGAGCCCCCAAGGAGAGGGUCCACGUUUCAUCUUGGCAUUUCUAGCAAAGGAACAUCUGGCAGGUGCACCAUAAAUGCGGAAUGAAUGAAGGAACAGAAUAGCUUUGGGAAUAUCUUUACAUUCUGUCGUCCCUGCCCCCUCCCCAUCCCUGCACCACACAAGCACCAAGCCUUCAGAUAACGGGAAACCGGAUGUUGUCCCAUUUCUUGGCCUUGUCCCCCAGGCUUACCUCAGAUAUGAGGCUGACCGUGAAUUCCCCAGAUGACUGUGUCCCCAUGCCUCACUUCCCGAGUGGGGCCUGGAUAGGUAGCAGGACUGGGAAGGGACAUCUACACUCGGCAAAAUGCAGGGGCUGCAGAGGUGACGUGGCUGUGGGCGGCAGACACAGAAUGAGGUGGCUUCCCAAAUCCCCCAAUACUCCAGCAUGUCACAGGCUGCAGCAGGACAUUCUCCCAUGCAGACAAGAAUAGGGUCACUGCGACUCUACUGGUUGCAGAACUGGCCUGUUCUGAAGUCUGGGACCAGAGCAAAGAUGAAGGCAGCACAAUGGAAGUCUGCCCGGAAAGAUGACACCAAGCAGGACCAGAUGCUCUGCUCCAUUGCAGCUUUGCGGGGCGGUGAAGGAAACCCUGUGCUGAAUUAGUAAAUUCUGGAUUGACAGAGAUGAAAUGUCUACUAUUUAGAAUAACUGGGGCUUAAAGAGAGAGAUCUGUUGGAUCACUCACUCUGGGGGAAGCCGUGUCAUGAGCAGCCCCAUGGAGAGGUCUUUGCGGCAAGGAACUGCUGGCUGGUGCCGACAACCACAUGAGUCAGCUCGGAAGUCAAUUCUCCAGCUCCCGCUGAGCCUUGAGAUGACCAUGACUCUGUCCCACAGCUGGACACAACCUGAGAGAUGCCGAGCCAGAACGCCCAGCUAAGCUGCUCCUGAAUUCCUAACCCUCAGAAACUGUGAGAUAACAUUGUGUUGUUUGAAACCAUUAAGUUUUGGAGUAAUUUGUUAUGCAGCAAAAGUAAGAAAUAUCGGAAAUCCUUUUCCUUCACAGUUUUGAAAGCUUUGCUCUAUGGCUAAAGCUCUAGCUCUCCAGCGUUUCUGUUGAGAAAUCCAAAACAAUUCUGAGCCCGAUUCUUUGAACAUGACCCAUUUCCCCUGGAAGUUGUGGCACGUUCUCUUCAGCCCAUCUGUUCUGAGACUGGACAGUCAUUCGUCAUGUUGCGUCUCCAUGUUCCAUUGUGCUGGGCCCCUGGUGGGCUGCUUCAGUGUAGAAAUUCAUUUCUUUCACUUCUGGGACUUUUCUUGAAUUAUUUCAUUGACAAUUUACUCCUCUUCAUUUUCUCUAUUCUCCAUUCCUAGAAUUCUUUUUGUUCAUAUUUUGGAUCCGCUGGACCAGUCCUUAUUUUCUUACUCACUGCCCUCUUUUCCUCUAUUUUCCAUUUCUGUGUUUUUUGUCUUGCUUUCUGGGUCAUUUCUUUAUCCUCCAAUCUUUUAGUAAAGCUUUUUAUUUUCGUUUUUAUUCUGUGUUCUCUUCUUUUGUUGUUUUUACGGAGUGUUCCCUUUUUAUAGCAUCUUGUUCUUAUGUCAAGGAUGCAGUAUCUUCUAUUAUCACUCUAGAAAUAUCAAUACUAGAGUUUUAGGGGAACUUUUUGGUUUGUUUCUUCAAAAGUCUUCUUCCUCUGCAUAGUCACUGUCUUUUCAAGUUGUUUUCUCUUGUUUAUUUUCUUUGAUCUCUCUCCUUCAUGUGGAUGUCUGGCAACCUUGGUUCCUCUGUUGAUAUUUAAGAGUGGAGCACUAAAGAAUUGACUGGAAGCUCUUAGGCUUUAGGGGGUUGAAUUUGUUCCCCUGAGCCUCACCUUGGGUGAUGUGGAUGGACCACUGUGGAUGGACUGUUGGCCCUUGUUCUGGCUGUCCAUCACUGUGUCCAAAGCUUUGUGGCUUCAAACUACAGCACUGGAAUUGCUCACCAGUGUGCCAUCAGGACAGUGCUCAGUGGGGACAGCUCGUUUCUGCCCCAUUCAGCAACAACUGACAUAGCUUGAAGGCUGGGGGAUGAAGGCUUGCUCACUUGUCUGGCAUCUGGGCUGGGGAGACCCAAACAGGUGGAGCUCACACAGCUGGGCCUCCUUGGGCUUUUCUCCAUCUCUGUGUGCUCUCUCCAGCAUGGUGGCUCCAGGGUAGGUACAUUCCCUACAUGUUGGCUCAGGGCUCCCAAAACACUUGCCCAAGAGAAACAGCGAGCCAGGGCAGAAGACGUAUCACUUUUUAUGACCCAGCAUUGGAGGUCAUAUCAUUUCUUUCCCUAAAGCAGUCACAAAGGCCCACCCAGGCUUAAGGGAGGGAGAAUAGACCCCACCUCCUGAUAGGAGAAGUGUCAAAAUUCUGGAAGAGCAUAUGAGACCGGAGAUAUUGUUAUAGCCAUUUUUGAUACAAAGUAUCAUAAUACUUAAGUACACUGUGUGCUAGAAAAUUCGUUGUAUUAGUUCCCUAUUGCUGCCAUAACAAAUAAUCACAAGUUUAGUUCUUUUUUUUUUUUAAACUCUGACUUUAUUUUUAUUUAUUCUUUUUUUUAAGAUUUUUAUUUUUUCCUUUUUCUCCCCAAAGCCCCCCGGUACAUAGUUGUAUAUUCUUCGUUGUGGGUCCUUCUAGUUGUGGCAUGUGGGACGCUGCCUCAACGUGGUUUGAUGAGCAGUGCCAUGUCCGCGCCCAGGAUUCGAACCAACAAAACACUGGGCCACCUGCAGCGGAGCGCGUGAACUUAACCACUUAGCCACGGGGCCAACCCCUCUUUUUUUAUUUUUUAAAGAUUUUAUUUUUUCCUUUUUCUCCCCAAAGCCCCCCGGUACAUAGUUGUAUAUUCUUCGUUGUGGGUCCUUCUAGUUGUGGCAUGUGGGACGCUGCCUCAGCGUGGUUUGAUGAGCAGUGCCAUGUCUGUGCCCAGGAUUCAAACCAACGAAACACUGGGCCGCCUGCAGCGGGGUGCACGAACUUAACCACUCAGCCAUGGGGCCAGCCCCUAGUUCUUUAAAAACCACAAAUUUAUUGUUGUACAGUUCUGGACUUCAGAACUCCAAAAUGGAUCAGAAGUCCAGUGGGCCAAAUCAAGGGCUUGGCGGAGCCACACUCCCUCUCGAGGCUGCAGGGGAGAAUCCAUUUCCUUGUCUUUUCCUGCUUCUAGAAGCCGCCUACCUUCCUUGGCUUGUGGCCCCUUCCUCCAUCUUCACAGCACAUCACUCCAACCUUUUCUUCCAUUGUCACCUGCAAAGUCCAUUUUGCCCUGUAAGGUCCCAUACUCACAGAUUCUGUGGACUAGGAUGUGGACAUCUUUGGGGGGACAUUAUUCUGUAUACCAUAAUCAUGCACGUGGAGCCACUCAUUGCCUAGUGAUUUUGCAGUUAAUCAAUUAGUGAUUCGUGCGUAUCUUUCACACCUGGCAGAGUGCUCCAGUGGACACAAGCACCCUUCAUCCUUAUUCCUGGAGUGCCUUAUACCCUCCAGCUGGAAGCUUCCUUUGCAAGGCACAACCCAACCCUGGGUUUGCAGAAGCUCCUGACUGGCAUCAGCUCUAAACACCUUCCUCCUCAUACAUCAGACGGCUCGCUGAUCCCAGAAUUCUGAGCAAAUACAGUUCCACGUUCUCUUGCGAGCCUUCCCCAAUGCAGAGAAGCUAUCUGACACCAUGGAAAGAGCUCAGUUCAUACGUCUGGUGAAUACUUGGGCAACACUCUGACUCUCUCUAGACUUCAUUCCCCUUGGCUUUAACCUGGGAGGUGACACAGAUGAGAGGAGACACGUGAUCAGAGCCAAGUCCCACCUGUGUUUAAACUCAACUCGGUAGAUAAGCUCCUGAUGGACAGGUCAGAGAGGUGACAGUACAAGGGAGGCAGACGGAGUGCAGCAGGACAGGAGAGAGCCUUUCAGGAGCACGCUGCCUAGUAUCCACCCGCCGGGCUUCAGGCGGGCUGGGCCGCUCCCACGGUGCAGCCCCACCUGGACUCUGAAGUCCUGACCUCCCAUGCUCACCUCGCCACCUCCCACUCUUCCAGCCCUCCGCCACCUACUAAGUCUGCUCCUCCAGCUUGUCAAGGACGCUCAUUUCAUCUUUCUUUUCUAUAAUGAGAAAUUUCAAAACUACAGAACAGUGUAGAGAGCAAAAUAGCACACAUCCAUUUACCACCUGCUCGGUAGUGAUAAUUUUAACGAAGUUUGCUUCCAAUUUUUUUUUAAAGGCAUGAAAGCCUACAGGUAUAAUUGAAGUCCCAUGUGUUUGCCUUCUCAGUUCCUUUUCCCUUCCUAAGCUUAAUUAACUCUUUCCCUGCUAGAGGAAAGCACCAUCUCGACUUUGCUGUGUCCACGGUUUUAUUCUUCCCACACAUGUGUUCACCCAUAAAUAAUAGAUAACACCAUUCUACGUGUUUCAAAGAUUACAGACAUGAUCCAAAGCUACGUACAAACUCAAUGCAAUCCCUAUUAAAAUUCUAAGAGCAUUCUCCACAGAAAUGGAAAAGCUGAUCCUCAGAUGCAUAUGGCAUUGCAAGGGACCUCCAAUAGUCAAAACAAUCCUGAAAAAGAAGAAUUAGGUUGAGGACCCCACACUUUCUGAUUUCAAAACUUACUACAAAACUACAGUAAUUAAAACAUACUGGCCUAAGGAUGAUCAUAUAGACCAAUGGAAUAUAAUAGAGAGCCCAGAAAUAAACCCUCCCAUGUAUGGUCAGUUGAUUUUUGAUAAGGGUGCCAAGAUCGUUCAGUGGAGAAAGGACAGUCUUUCUAACAAAUGAUGCUGGGAAAACUGGAUAUCCCCAUGCCGAAGAAGUUGGACCUCUUACCUAACACUAUACACAAAAAGUAACUCAAUAUGGAUCAAAGACACAAACUUAAGAGCUAAAACUUUAAAAUUCUUCUAAGAAAACAUAGGGGAAAAUCUUCUUGACAUUGAAUUUUGCAACAAUGUCAUGGAUUUGACACCAAAAGUGCAGGUAACGAAAGGAAAAAUAAACUCAACUCCAUUGAAAUUUAGUCGAAGUUUUUAAAUUUGCUGGCAUAAAGUUUUUUGAUAAUAAUCUCUUUUUAUCUUCUUACAUCUGCAGGAUCUUUUUUGUUGCUCAUAUUGGUGACUUAUUUUGUUUUUCUUUUAUCUGGGAGUUUAUCAAUUUCAUCAUUUUUUUAAUAACCAAACUUUUUGCUUUGUUGAUCUUCUCUGUUGUAUAUCUGCUUUGUAUUUCAUUGAUUUGGAUUCCUAUUUUUAUUAUUUCCUUCUUUCUUUUUUCCUUGGGUUUAAGUUGCUGUUCAAAUUUAGAUAACUGUCUUUAAACUAUUUUCUCGUGUAACGUAUGCAUUUAAAGGUAUAAAUUUCUUUCUAAUCACUGCUUUGCCUAUUUGCCUCAGGCAUUUGUAUGCAGUAUUUUGAUUUUCAUUCUGUUCAAAGUAUUUUCUAUUCUCCUGUGUGGUUUCUUCCUUGAGCCACGGGUUAUUUACAAGUGUUCUGUUUCACAUCCAAACGUUUGGGGUUUCUAAGAAUCUUUCUCUUGUUCAUUUCUAGUUUAAUUCCACUUUGGUCAGAGAUCACACCCGGCAUGAUUUCACCUUUGGAAGUUUGUUAAGACUUGCUUUAUGGCCCAGCACAUGUUCUAUUUUGGUAACUAUGCCCUCGAAAAGGAAGUGUGUUCGCCCCUUGCGGGGUGCAGCCCUCUGUAACUGUUUAUUAAGUCAAGUUGAUUCAUUCUGCUGUUCAUAUUUUCUAUAUACUUUUACAUCUUUCAUCUCCUUUUUCUAUCAGUUGCUGAGAGAUUUGUUAAAAAUCUCCAGCUAUGACUACAGACUUGCCUAUUUGUCUCUUUUAUUCUGGAAAUACUCUAUUUCGUGUAUUGUGUAGCUCUGUUAUUAGGUGCAUACACAUUUACGAUUGUUACAUCUUCCGUUGAAUUAACCCUUUCAUCAUUAUGAAACGUCGCUCUUUACUUCCCUUACUACCACUUCUGGCUCUAAGGUCUAUUUUGUUUGAUAUCAAUAGAGCCACACCUUUUAUUUGGUGAGUAUUUGCAUGAUAUAACUUUUAUCAUCUUUUUAUUUUUUACCUUUCUAUGUCCUAUAUUUAAAGCGUAUUUUCUAAAUACCUAAUAGCUUUAGAACCAAACUGUUCAGGGCGGGUAGAGAAAGAAAGGGAAUGGAAAUAGAAGCAUGAAUUGCCCUUAUUUUUGAAGAAAAUUUAUGCUGGCUACACAACUUUUCUUUCUGCAAAGAUGCCAUCCCAUCGUCUUCUGGUUUCAUAGUUACAGUUGACAAAUCAGCCACAACUCAUCGUUGCUACUUUGAAUGUCACGUGUUUUAUCUUUCCGGCUGCUUGUCUUAUUUUCAGUUUGACGAUGAUGUGCCUAUGUGUGAUUUUCUUUGUAUUUCUUUUCCUUGGGAUUGACUGAGCUUUGCGAAUCCGUGAGUUGAUGUCUUUAUCUGAUUUUGAAAAUUCUUGUCCUUUAGCUCUUCAGAUUUCACUUGCCAUAUUCUCUUUCCCUCCUCUGUUUCUGGGAAUCCAGUGAUAUGUAUGUUAGACCUCUGACUGUGUUCCAUUAUCUGUCUUAUACUCUGAUCUGUUAUUUUAAUUGUUUUCUCUCUCUGUGCUUCAGUUUGAGUAUUUUCUAUAUACCUGUCUUUCAGCUCACUAAUCCUAUCAUCUCCUGUGUUUAGGUUGCCAUUAAAUCCACUCAAUGAAUUCUUAAUCUCAGAUACCAAAUUUUUUCAGUUCUUGAAUGUCUAUUUGAAUAUUUAUAAAUUCCAAUUCUCUGUAGAAAUUCUCCAUCUUUUCAUUCAUUUUGUCCAUCUUUUUCUACAUAUUCUUUUUGUAUUCUAUUAUACUAGUUAUUUUUAAAUCCUUGUCUGAUAACUCCAAUAGCUAAGUUAUCUGUGUUGUGAUGGUAGGUUGAACACCUCCAGCCAAAAUUUGGUUCAAACGUCAAGAUUGAUGACAUCACACACCAAGAGAAGAUGAAAAGAUUUAUUAUUUACAUAUGAAGAUUUCUGGGGAGAGCCUGGAAACUUCCCAAGGAGGUCUAAAAAUGGGUUAAGAGAGCAGAGAAAGGAGACUGGCUUUGGGGUCAUUAGAGGGCAGUGUUAAAAUUAAUAAAGGAAAUCUCAAAUAAAAUUGGAGUCAGGAAGGCCUGUAGAGGGAGCUCUCAUGUCCUACCACUCAAUUACCCCAAACAGGAAGAUGUCAAUUACAGACCCCAACAGGAAGAAGCAUCAGUUACCAACCUCAAGAGGAAGAGAUGUGCCUUACAAUCCCAAACAGGAAGUGCAACUACUUUACUACUCCAGUAAGGGGAAGACUUCCUUCUUGCCCAGCAAUAAGCACAACCAAUGGAAAACACUGCAGCCCAGUCAAUGAGAAUCUGUUGUCACUUGAACUAUCUCUCUAUUGCCAGAUGAAAUGCUACCUGAUUCAUGAAUUAUUUAAUAAAGUCAAUUCAAUCUUCGAA